This 447-nucleotide ribosomal RNA is filed under the name uncultured bacterium. RNAcentral's name for it is "partial 16S ribosomal RNA". It matches the Rfam family "Bacterial small subunit ribosomal RNA", at positions 29 to 523 of the family's 1533-position model. The record is from RNAcentral.
AACGAACGCUGGCGGCAGGCUUAACACAUGCAAGUCGAACGCCCCGCAAGGGGAGUGUCAGACGGGUGAGUAACGCGUGGGAAUCUACCUUUUGCUACGUGAUAGCUCCGGGAAACUGGGAUUAAUACCGUAUGUGCCCUCCGGGGGAAAUAUUUAUCGGCAAAGGAUGAGCCCGCGUUGGAUUAGCUAGUUGGUGGGGUAAAGGCCUACCAAGGCGACGAUCCAUAGCUGGGCUGAGAGGAUGAUCCGCCACAUUGGGACUGGGACACGGCACAAACUCAUCAGGGCGGAAGCAGUGGGGAAUAUUGGACAAUGGGCGCAAGCCUGAUCCAGCAAUGCCGCGUGAGUGAUGAAGGUCUUAGGAUUGUAAAGCUCUUUCACCGGGGACGAUAAUGACGGUACCCGGAGAAGAAGCCCCGGCUAACUUCGUGCCAGCAGCCGCCGUAA